UUCCAGUUUGCGCUUAAUCUCCAUUCGGAGAGCGGGGGAACCAAGUACGGUUUUUUGUACCGUAUUAUGAAUUCUUCAGGGGUGAAUUUUGAAGCCUUUGCCAUGAGCAUUGUGUAACGAACAGGGUGACUCUCUUGCCCGAACCCGACAGCUAACCUCGUAAGCGUUAUAGAGAGUGAUC
This 181-nucleotide small RNA is filed under the name Paenibacillus sp. RNAcentral's name for it is "c-di-AMP sequence". It matches the Rfam family "c-di-AMP riboswitch aptamer (ydaO/yuaA leader)". From Rfam's summary of the family: This family represents a conserved RNA structure found upstream of the ydaO and yuaA genes in Bacillus subtilis and related genes in other bacteria. Lineage: Bacteria; Bacillati; Bacillota; Bacilli; Caryophanales; Paenibacillaceae. RNAcentral also lists the same sequence under 1 other name. The record is from RNAcentral.